AGGAUAGUAGUUUAAUUAAAACAUUUAAGUUGCAUUUAAAAAAUACUGGAAUACCAAUUUAUCUUA
This 66-nucleotide transfer RNA is filed under the name Gnathotrichus materiarius. RNAcentral's name for it is "tRNA-Ala". The record is from RNAcentral. Lineage: Eukaryota; Metazoa; Arthropoda; Insecta; Coleoptera; Curculionidae.